Molecule: ribosomal RNA, 468 nt
Filed under: uncultured bacterium
Lineage: Bacteria
Description: partial 16S ribosomal RNA
Rfam family: Bacterial small subunit ribosomal RNA
Source: RNAcentral
GACGAACGCUGGCGGCGUGCUUAACACAUGCAAGUCGAACGGAAAGGCCCUGCUUUUGUGGGGUGCUCGAGUGGCGAACGGGUGAGUAACACGUGAGUAACCUGCCCUUGACUUUGGGAUAACUUCAGGAAACUGGGGCUAAUACCGGAUAGGAGCUCCUGCUGCAUGGUGGGGGUUGGAAAGUUUCGGCGGUUGGGGAUGGACUCGCGGCUUAUCAGCUUGUUGGUGGGGUAGUGGCUUACCAAGGCUUUGACGGGUAGCCGGCCUGAGAGGGUGAACGGCCACAUUGGGACUAAGAUACGGCCCAGAAUCCUACGGGAGGCAGCAGUGGGGAAUAUUGCACAGUGGGCCGAAGCGUGAUGCAGCAACGCCGCGUGCGGGAUGACGGCCUUCGGGUUGUAAACCGCUUUCGCCUGUGACGAAGCGUGAGUGACGGUAAUGGGUAAAGAAGCACCGGCUAACUACGUG